This 373-nucleotide unclassified non-coding RNA is filed under the name soil metagenome. RNAcentral's name for it is "partial contains 5.8S ribosomal RNA, internal transcribed spacer 2, and large subunit ribosomal RNA". The stretch from base 1 to 121 matches the Rfam family "5.8S ribosomal RNA", at positions 35 to 154 of the family's 154-position model. The record is from RNAcentral.
GAUGAAGAACGCAGCGAAAUGCGAUAAGUAAUGCGAAUUGCAGAAUUCCAGUGAGUCAUCGAAUCUUUGAACGUACAUUGCGCCCUUUGGUAUUCCGAAGGGCAUGCCUGUUCGAGCGUCAUUAUCACCCCUCAAGCCCUCGGCUUGGUGUUGGACGGUUUGGUGGAGGCCCCCUCGGGGGCUCCUGCCCCUCCCAAAGACAAUGACGGCGGCCUCGUUGGACCCCCGGUACACUGAGUUCUUCACGGGACACGUAUCGGACACAUGGGUUUACGGGACACGGUCUGCCUCCCCUCAGGGAGAAUCUUUCUAAGGUUGACCUCGGAUCAGGUAGGGAUACCCGCUGAACUUAAGCAUAUCAAUAAGCGGAGGA